UCCGGAGGGAGCUAGCGUUGUUCGGAUCUACUGGGCGUAAAGCGCACGUAGGCGGCGCCGUAAGUCAGGGGUGAAAUCCCGGAGCUCAACUCCGGAACUGCCCUUGAAACUGCAGUGCUAGAAUCUUGGAGAGGCGAGUGGAAUUCCGAGUGUAGAGGUGAAAUUCGUAGAUAUUCGGAAGAACACCAGUGGCGAAGGCGACUCGCUGGACAAGUAUUGACGCUGAGGUGCGAAAGCGUGGGGAGCAAACAGG
This 253-nucleotide ribosomal RNA is filed under the name uncultured bacterium. Its description in RNAcentral is "partial 16S ribosomal RNA". It matches the Rfam family "Bacterial small subunit ribosomal RNA", at positions 524 to 776 of the family's 1533-position model. The record is from RNAcentral.